RNAcentral lists this ribosomal RNA (497 nucleotides) under uncultured bacterium. RNAcentral describes it as "partial 16S ribosomal RNA". It matches the Rfam family "Bacterial small subunit ribosomal RNA", at positions 28 to 507 of the family's 1533-position model. The record is from RNAcentral.
GAUGAACGCUGGCGGCGUGCCUAAUACAUGCAAGUCGAGCGAACAGACGAGGAGCUUGCUCCUCUGACGUUAGCAGCGGACGGGUGAGUAACACGUGGAUAACCUACCUAUAAGACUGGGAUAACUUCGGGAAACCGGAGCUAAUACCGGAUAAUAUAUUGAACCGCAUGGUUCAAUAGUGAAAGACGGUUUUGCUGUCACUUAUAGAUGGAUCCGCGCCGCAUUAGCUAGUUGGUAAGGUAACGGCUUACCAAGGCAACGAUUCGUAGCCGACCUGAGAGGGUGAUCGGCCACACUGGAACUGAGACACGGUCCAGACUCCUACGGGAGGCAGCAGUAGGGAAUCUUCCGCAAUGGGCGAAAGCCUGACGGAGCCACGCCGCGUGAGUGAUGAAGGUCUUCGGAUCGUAAAACUCUGUUAGUUGGGAAGAACAAAUGUGUGAGUAACUAUGCCCGUCUUGACGGUACCUACUCAGAAAGCCACGGCUAACUACGUG